GCGCUCACCUCGUGACCUUUGUCAGUGUUGGACUAAGGCACGCGGUGAAUGCCA
This 54-nucleotide microRNA precursor is filed under the name Schmidtea mediterranea. RNAcentral's name for it is "Sme-Mir-124-P33_pre stem-loop". Lineage: Eukaryota; Metazoa; Platyhelminthes; Tricladida; Dugesiidae. The record is from RNAcentral.